Molecule: small nucleolar RNA, 130 nt
Organism: Artibeus jamaicensis (Jamaican fruit-eating bat)
Lineage: Eukaryota; Metazoa; Chordata; Mammalia; Chiroptera; Phyllostomidae
Product: small nucleolar RNA SNORA38
Exons: 1
Source: RefSeq, a predicted model, not a curated record
CCCUCCUGCAAAGGCAUGUCUGUGGCUCCUCGUCUUUGGACACGUAAGAAUCGGAGGCACAGAAGUGUGGACCGAAGAGGUCUGGGGCCAGCGGGUGCCCUGUGGGCUCAAGUUCAACCAUCCCACAUAG